UUUGGGCAUGGCAGCUGUUUGUAC
Molecule: unclassified non-coding RNA, 24 nt
Filed under: Mus musculus (house mouse)
Lineage: Eukaryota; Metazoa; Chordata; Mammalia; Rodentia; Muridae
Description: oocyte_clustered_small_RNA11176
Source: RNAcentral